RNAcentral lists this ribosomal RNA (635 nucleotides) under Prototheca moriformis. RNAcentral's name for it is "partial large subunit ribosomal RNA". It matches the Rfam family "Eukaryotic large subunit ribosomal RNA", at positions 34 to 488 of the family's 3401-position model. Lineage: Eukaryota; Viridiplantae; Chlorophyta; Trebouxiophyceae; Chlorellales; Chlorellaceae. The record is from RNAcentral.
UUUAGCAUAUCAAUAAGCGGAGGAAGAGAAACUAACCAGGAUUCCCCUAGUAACGGCGAGCGAACCGGGAAGAGCCCAGCAUGGUAAUCUGCCGCCUUGCGCGGCCGAAUUGUGGUCUGGAGGGCGCGGCUCCGCGAGCCCCCGUCGCCAAGUCCGCUGGAAAGCGGCGUCGCAGAGGGUGACAACCCCGUGGGCGUCGGGUCGGCUCGCUCCUCGAGCCCGUUCCGCAGAGUCGGGUUGCUUGGGAAUGCAGCUCUAAGUCGGUGGUAAAUCCCAUCGAAGGCUAAAUACUGGCGGGAGACCGAUAGCGAACAAGUACCGUGAGGGAAAGAUGAAAAGAACUUUGAAAAGAGAGUGAAAAAGUGCCUGAACUUGUUGAGAGGGAAGCGAUGGGGAUUCGUUGCUCCUUCCCCGGCCGAUGCCUCGGCGAUGCCGUGGUUCGACGCCGGUGGAGAGGUCAGCGUGGGUUCGGCUCCCAGGACAACCCCGGGCGGGCGCGUCCCCCCGGGUCUCCGCGGGUCCGGACCGAGGAUCGAGAGGGCGGCCUCUGGCCGGGGCUUUNGCCUCCUGCCCUUCUUCNGACCGCUAGCCNGAGACGACUUCCUCUCNCCCGUCUUGAAAGCAAAUAACUCAGG